AUUGAACGCUGGCGGCAGGCCUAACACAUGCCAGUCGAGCGGAUGAAGGGAGCUUGCUCCUGGAUUCAGUGGCGGACGGGUGAGUAAUGCCUAGGAAUCUGCCUGGUAGUGGGGGAUAACGUCCGGAAACGGGCGCUAAUACCGCAUACGUCCUGAGGGAGAAAGUGGGGGAUCUUCGGACCUCACGCUAUCAGAUGAGCCUAGGUCGGAUUAGCUAGUUGGUGGGGUAAAGGCCUACCAAGGCGACGAUCCGUAACUGGUCUGAGAGGAUGAUCAGUCACACUGGAACUGAGACACGGUCCAGACUCCUACGGGAGGCAGCAGUGGGGAAUAUUGGACAAUGGGCGAAAGCCUGAUCCAGCCAUGCCGCGUGUGUGAAGAAGGUCUUCGGAUUGUAAAGCACUUUAAGUUGGGAGGAAGGGCAGUAAGUUAAUACCUUGCUGUUUUGACGUUACCAACAGAAUAAGCACCGGCUAACUUCGUG
Molecule: ribosomal RNA, 484 nt
Filed under: uncultured bacterium
Lineage: Bacteria
Description: partial 16S ribosomal RNA
Rfam family: Bacterial small subunit ribosomal RNA
Source: RNAcentral